This 485-nucleotide ribosomal RNA is filed under the name uncultured bacterium. Its description in RNAcentral is "bacterial SSU rRNA". It matches the Rfam family "Bacterial small subunit ribosomal RNA", at positions 28 to 496 of the family's 1533-position model. The record is from RNAcentral.
GAUGAACGCUAGCGGCAGGCUUAAUACAUGCAAGUUGAGGGGCAGCAUGAUAUACGCGAGUAUAUUGAUGGCGACCGGCGGACGGGUGAGUAAUAGGUAGGAGACCUACCUCAUACAGGGGGAUAGCAUAGAGAAAUCUGUGGUAAUACCCCAUGAGGUUAUAUGAAUAGAGGCAUAUAAUCAAAGCAUAAGCGAUUAUGCGGUAUGAGAGGGGCCUACUGACCAUUAGCUAGUUGGUGAGGUAAGGGCUCACCAAGGCGAAGAUGGUUAGGGGUUUUGAGAGAGAGACCCCCCACAUUGGAACUGAGAGACGGUCCAGACUCCUACGGGAGGCAGCAGUAGGGAAUAUUGGGCAAUGGGCGGAAGCCUGACCCAGCCAUGCCGCGUGAAGGAAGACGGCCUUAUGGGUUGUAAACUUCUUUACUAUGCGACUAACUAGAUUUACGAGAUAAUUCUAUAGAAUGUAGCAUAGCAAAAAGCACCGG